CACGCUAAUAAUGAUUUUGGGAGCAUUUCUGAUGGCAUCAUCAAUUUUUCUUCCCAAGGUGGUUAUCGCAGAGUCUCGCGCGUCCAAGGGUCGUGAUUAUGCCACGUGGCGACUCCUAAAUUCGUCUUCCAAUGGGAACUUCUCUUUUAAUUAUGGUUCUGUUUCUUCUUGGUUUGCAAUUACUUCAUCAUAGACGAGGUAAGGCUUUAAUCUUCUCAUUUUUCAUCAUAUUUGUUGCUUCCUACUGCUUAUACCCUUCCCCCUCUGGCCAUGUCGAAGAAAGGUAAGGGAAUGAACGUUUCCGGGUCGCUGGAGGAAUUUCGCCCGGAGUUCAAUAUCCCGCUUUCACUGAAUCUCCAUUUUGUUGAGGAUGGUGAGGUUAAUUUUAUCAUGGGAAGCCCUGAUAAAGGGGAAAUGUUGUUGUCAAAGAGUUAUUUUGAGGUUGGUCUCAAGUUGCCACUACCUCCCUUGUUCAAAGACAUCGUGAACCACCUUCAUCUUGCCCCAAACCAAUUGUGUAUUAACAUGAUAAGGUUAACUAUGUCCUUGGCCGUUCUGGAUCAUAUGAGGGGUUUGGGCAUUUCGGUCAUAGAUGUGUUUUACAUCUGUACUGCGAUGAGGUCUCACAUUCCACAUGAAUGGUACAUGUCUCCCUACCUAGGCAUGAGCUGCUUUAUCAUAGGUGCGCCUUUAACAAACAAGGACCUUGGCCGGGGUUUGGUAGUAGUAUCAGGUAAGUGGGAGUUUGGCAUUUCGGAACCUGAGGGUCUUCCAAAAGUUCCAAGAGUUCACAAUGUUGCGAGUGUGUGUCAAUGUUGAUUGGGUCUUUCAAGCUGAUUGUUUUGUUUCGUUGGCUCUUUCCUUGGGGUUUCAGUCAAUUGCGAGUUCAUUUGAUAUUGAUAGAACUCUUCAAGAUUAGAAAGUCUUGCUAAAACCCUCUCAGUAUACGCCACUUGGAUCUUUUGGCCUUAUUUUUUUGCCUCUUGUCUGUCUUUCAUUAAACCUGAAGAACCACUGCCGUUGGAGAGAAAGUUUUUGCUCCCUGCUCUUUCUAUUGCUGAGCGCUUAAAGAGGAAACAAUAGCAACUUGCUUUAAAGCCAUCCUCUUCGGAAGGAAAAUCUCAAAAUGUUGGGUUUAGCACUGGUGGUUCUGUGGGUUGUCCUGCAGUUCCAGGUUUUCCCAGCAGAAUUCACUCAAUCAGUAGAGUGACUCUCUCUUCUAUCUCUGCACCUAAGAGUAAACUGUCCUCGUGUUCCAGUCCAAUCAAUCUUAUUGGUGGUAUCGAAGUCCCAGAGGGUUCGGUUAAGUCUAAGGUUCCUAUUUUUAAUGAAGCCAAAGUCGACUCUGCUGCUAUGAACAAACGAUUUCUUUUACAGAAAUAUUCAACUUUGCCUCAUUUGCUUCCUGGUUUAGAUUUGAAGAAAACAAAGAAAGUUACUUCUCAUGCCAUGACCGUUAAGGAUGAUCUACUUCCAAUUAUUGAGGUGGGAAGGCGAACAUUAAUGUCAGGGGAUUCCAAGUUCAUGUCUAAUCUCUCCGACUUGGCUGUGAUGGACAAGUCCAUUGGGUUGUGCUAUAAGGUAUAUUGAAGUUUUAACUUAUUCUGGGAAUUUCACAAUGUAUAUGCUUGAUUGUAUUGUCUUCUGUUUUUCUUUCAAGCAUUUCGAUUUAAUUUUGACGUUUGUCGACGCCUCACAUCUUCUCAAUUUGAUCACGUCGAGUUGAGGAGUCAAAAUAAGAGUUUUUCGUUGAGCUUAAUUAACACGACCGAAGAACUCUCCCAGCUUACAACAAAACUGGAGCUUGAACGUGGCAUUGUUGCUAAUUAUUAAUAAGAAUUUUCUCGAUUGAAGGAGCGCAUAGCUGAAUUUGAGUCUCAUCUUGUUGUUUUGCUUGGAGAAAAAUGAGGAAUUAAGCAAUCCCUUAAAGAAACCAGAUAUGCCAAGGUGUUGUGUGAGACCAAUCUUCUUCGCUUGCAAAAGAGUUGGUCUAAGAAGGAAGAUCUUUGUGAUAGGGUGUACAAACAACUAACCAGCGAUCUCCUAGCUCGGGACAAGCAAAAUCAAAAUUAAGGGUGGUGAUAUCCAUUUAUUCCUUUUCCUCCCAAUCUUUUUCCUUCUAUAUUAUUCUUGUACACGACACGCAUAGAGGAGUAGCCUGGUCACGAGAUGUUAGGAGUGAUCACGAGCCAAUCUGCAGGCUUUUAAACUAAAUGCCAAAGAUGGGGAUGCGGCAGAUGACAUUGUCCCUUUGACAGUCAGGUCUGGUAUUUCGCCCAACCUGGAGUUGGUUGCUUAUGGGUGCACCCUCCUACCAAGGUACCCAGUUGUAGGUUGAUCACGUGCUGAAGUGGUCCAAUUAAUUUUUGGUAGCUCCAAAGCGUUUGUGUUAGGUUAGAGUGAGGCACAUUUGACGUUGGGUAUAGAGUCCUCUGACCCCCUAGAGUUCGGGUCUAGUAGCAAAUCUGAGAGUCCGUCUGAGUAAUUUUUUGUGGACGACCCGUCAUUUGGUACAAGUGGUGGCCUAACCAAGUCCGACCUUGAGAACUUGGCUUGAUUGGAGGUCAACCAACAGAGGGGCAGGAUAAGGUCACUGCUGGAGAUCCCAUUUCUGGGAACAAAAGAAGAUGUUCAAGCCAAGGGUGGAGCCCUUCAUGUGCUCUCUAUGGCGAGCUUAUCUUUCCCCAAAGACAAAGGUGGGGUUUUAGAGAUUAACAUCAAUGUGUUUUCAAAGAGAACCAAGUCACUUAUUACUCUACCACUAGGCUGGGGGUUGCUUUUUUGCCUUUUUAACCUACUGUGAUAAGGCGACUCUUUUUGUAUUUCGUUAGCUUUGGUGCAUAUGUUAGGCUUCUUUUAAUUUGCCAUGCUAUUUUGGAUAAUUAUGAAUGCAUGUCAAUAUGUUUACUGGUUCACGCUUAAUCAAAUAUUUUCUAAUA
Molecule: long non-coding RNA, 2939 nt
Organism: Vitis vinifera (wine grape)
Lineage: Eukaryota; Viridiplantae; Streptophyta; Magnoliopsida; Vitales; Vitaceae
Exons: 2
Source: RefSeq, a predicted model, not a curated record